AAUAAAAUAACAUUUGUACCGCAGACAGCAGGUGCCGAAAGGCUUAAUCUCCUGCCGAGGUCAUACGAUAGAUUUACACGAUACACUAUUGUAUACUCCCUCCAUGUCUGUUUGACCUGGAGGUUUUUUAUUGCCUGG
Molecule: regulatory RNA element, 138 nt
Rfam family: Ribosomal protein L10 leader
About the family: This family is a putative r-protein leader autoregulatory structure found in B. subtilis and other low-GC Gram-positive bacteria. It is located in the 5' untranslated regions of mRNAs encoding ribosomal proteins L10 and L12 (rplJ-rplL). A Rho-independent transcription terminator structure that is probably involved in regulation is included at the 3' end.
Source: Rfam